GCGGCGGUAGUCGAACCUCUGAUCGAUCAUCAUCGACUCUCCAACCGUGUCCGCCUCGCUUCAGCUCCCUUCACUCUCUCCUCUCACUCGCUCGCUCUCCGAAGGAUGAAAUUUGAGCUCAGAGUUAGGGUUUGAAAUUCUGAAUUGAAUAGUACCGGCCAGUUAGUUUGAAAAUGGCGGCUGCUUCUCUAUCUGCCCGUUCAUCACCCGAGCUUCUAUUUCUCCGGCCAGACUCUGCCCGCAAAUUCCGAGUCUCUCUGUCCAGGAUUGCACUCUCGAGGCGCACCAGGCCUCGCCUUCUUCUCCGAGCUCGAGUUCAGGGAGAAGAAGCCGUAGUUGAGGAGAUAGAGCUUAAUGGUAAUGGGAGUGUUUAUGGUCGCAAUGGGAUGGCUAAUGGGGGUAUUGGAGUGGUCGAGAGUCAGAAUGGGGCGAGCAACGGUAGCUUGGUGAAGUACGUGAACGGGAACGGCGCCGCAGCGGGAAUCGCGGAAGUUGUCGUGGAAUCGGAGACCACGGCGGCGGCGGCGGCUGGGAAGAAGAGAACUAUAGAGGAGAUUGGACAGGAGGAGGCGUGGUUUAAGCGGGUUGGGAAAGAGCAGAUAGAGGUAUCUGUUGCCCCUGGUGGCCGCUGGAGUAGAUUCAAAACCUAUUCAACAAUUCAAAGGACUUUGGAGAUUUGGGGAUUUGUUUUAACUUUUAUCUUUAGGACUUGGUUGAGCAAUCAGAAAUUUUCUUAUCGAGGUGGGAUGACUGAAGAGAAGAAAGUCCAAAGGCGGAAAGUCCUUGCCAAGUGGUUGAAGGAAAAUAUUUUGAGAUUAGGUCCGACAUUCAUCAAAAUUGGGCAGCAGUUCUCCACAAGGGUGGACAUUCUUCCUCAAGAAUAUGUCGAUCAAUUGUCAGAACUUCAGGAUCAAGUUCCUCCUUUCCCAUCUGACACAGCUAUAUCUAUAGUUGAAGAAGAGCUUGGAGCCCCCAUAAAUGACAUAUUUGAGCAGUUUGAUUAUGAGCCAAUAGCAGCUGCUAGUCUUGGUCAGGUCCACUGUGCAAAAUUGAAUGGGCAGGAAGUUGUUAUUAAAGUACAAAGGCCUGGUCUGAAGGAUCUUUUUGAUAUUGAUCUGAAAAAUCUGAGGGUGAUAGCAGAAUAUCUUCAGAAGGUUGAUCCCAAGUCAGAUGGUGCAAAAAGGGAUUGGGUUGCUAUCUAUGAUGAAUGUGCAAGUGUUUUGUACCAGGAGAUUGAUUACACCAAGGAAGCUGCCAAUGCAGAACUAUUUUCAGAUAACUUCAGAAACAUGGAUUAUGUGAAAGUCCCAACAAUAUAUUGGGAAUACACCACACCACAGGUUCUCACUAUGGAGUAUGUCCCUGGGAUCAAAAUAAACAGAAUACAAGCAUUAGAUGAGUUGGGUGUCGAUCGUAAAAGAUUGGGACGGUAUGCUGUUGAAUCUUACUUGGAACAGAUCCUGUCUCAUGGAUUCUUCCAUGCUGAUCCACAUCCUGGGAAUAUAGCUGUUGAUGAUGUUAACGGAGGAAGACUGAUCUUUUAUGAUUUUGGAAUGAUGGGAAGUAUAAGCCCAAAUAUAAGAGAGGGGCUGCUGGAGACAUUUUAUGGAGUUUAUGAAAAGGAUCCAGAUAAGGUUCUUCAAGCAAUGAUUCGGAUGGGUGUUCUUGUGCCUACUGGGGAUAUGACAGCUGUUAGACGAACAGCACAAUUCUUCCUUAACAGCUUUGAAGAACGUUUAGCAGCACAAAGAAAAGAGAGAGAGAUGGCAAUGGCAGAACUUGGAUUUAAGAAACCAUUGAGCAGGGAGGAGAAGAUAGAGAAAAAGAAGCAGCGUUUAGCAGCAAUAGGAGAAGAUUUGUUGGCUAUUGCAGCAGAUCAACCCUUCAGAUUUCCUGCCACUUUCACUUUUGUUGUUAGAGCAUUUUCAGUCUUGGAUGGCAUUGGGAAAGGCCUUGACCCACGGUUUGAUAUUACAGAGAUUGCUAAACCUUAUGCCCUAGAGUUACUCAGGUUUCGCGAAGCUGGUGUUGAAGUUAUCUUAAAGGACUUCAGGAAGAGAUGGGACCGUCAAUCUCGUGCAUUUUACAACUUAUUUAGACAAGCUGAUAGAGUUGAAAAGCUUGCUCAAAUUAUUCAACGAUUGGUACAAGGUGAUUUAAAGCUCCGAGUUCGAGCUUUGGAGUCUGAGAGGGCUUUCCAGCGUGUUGCAGCUGUUCAAAAGACGAUAGGAAGUGCAGUAGCUGCUGGAACUCUAGUUAACCUUGCAACAAUUUUGUAUCUCAACUCAAUUCGGGUUCCUUCUAUGGUGGCAUAUGCGUUCUGUGCUGUUUUUGGCUUCCAAGUUCUUUUUGGCAUUCUUAAGGUUAAAAAGUUAGAUCAGCGUGAGAGAUUGAUAACAGGAACUGCUUAAAUUACUGUACUUUUGCCAACUCAAUCUGGAUAGAUAUUGAGAGACCAGCUCAUGAUUGCAACAUAAACCCCCUGGCUGCAAGAGCUUGAUGCCAAGUUUUAAAUUCAGGCAAAACACCCUGGUUGUGAUAUUGAUCUGGAUCUGUAGUAUCAUGUUAGCUGCAUCAAGGUAAGACCAAAGACUUUGUUAGCCAUGCCUGGCUGAACAUCCACAGCAGCCAAGGGAUGUGUCGGAAGAAUGGUAUCUUAUAAAUUUUAGUUUCAUUUUGAUGACAAAAUCUUCUGUCCUUUUAGGAUACUACCACAUGCUGUGGUCAACCAAACACUGCUUUGACUUCUUAGAAACUCAAAUGUAAUUGCUGUUGAGUUGCUAAUGUUUGGA
Molecule: RNA transcript, 2792 nt
Organism: Diospyros lotus (date-plum)
Lineage: Eukaryota; Viridiplantae; Streptophyta; Magnoliopsida; Ericales; Ebenaceae
Gene name: protein ACTIVITY OF BC1 COMPLEX KINASE 8, chloroplastic
Exons: 22
Source: RefSeq, a predicted model, not a curated record